Osmia lignaria (orchard mason bee) is the source of this 4510-nucleotide long non-coding RNA. RefSeq lists it as uncharacterized. Lineage: Eukaryota; Metazoa; Arthropoda; Insecta; Hymenoptera; Megachilidae. The record is from RefSeq and is a predicted model, not a curated record.
GAGAAGUGGAUUAGAUUGAAGAAUCACAUAAUCUGUGUCUUGAGGAGCCGCUGAGUUAGAUCCUAAAACAAAUCUCCAUGUUCAUCUUCUGAUUCCAUUAAAAGAUAAGGAUUCGAAAUUUCUCAGGAACUGUUGAGUCACCGAUUGUCUGGAAAAAAAAAUUCAUCGCCGAUUCGUGUCGCAUCCUAUCGACUGUAUCACCUGUUGACAGGAUGAAAAGGAGCCAUAAUGACCCCGAGCCAAUCCCUGUGGGAUCAAAGACGACAACGAUCCUACAUCUCGUUCCGAAUUCAGUAAACUACUCCUCUCAUUCGAGUAUUCCAUGGAAAGCAGGUCAACAUCCGGAAAUACUCUCAUAUUCCGACAAUAUUAAUUGGCGCUACGUCGACAAAAAUUUAUCAUUAACAACACAUUCGUUCAUAUCUUUAAUUAAAAUUUCACUUUUCCCUAAUUAAAGCUUAAUCAUUCACAAUUUCCAAUUCUUCCACGUAUUCACUAAAGAAGAGGAAAAGAAACAAAUUGGCACGGUUGAACAAAUAUCCAAGAGGAAACACAGUCUCGUUCUAUUGAUUCUCACUUUUGUUUUUUUCAUUCGGCUGACAAAACCACCAUAUUCAAAGCGUACACACGCUUUCUUGAAAUAUUUCACACCGUACACGAUUGAACAAAGCACUUCUAUCCGCGGCAAGAACCGUUUGUUUAUUAAAAUCCAAGAUGUAUCUUGGAACUAAUUAAAAGCACAGACGAUAAUUUUUUCUGUAUUUACCAAGUUUUAUCUGGGCCUCGGUAAUUUUAACCGAUUCCAGAUCAUUUUAUCGUGAAAUUCUAGAGAAUGUACGCGUGUAUCCAGAAGCAACAACGUGGAAACUGUACGAGGGAACAUCGAUUGCUGGGUAAUCGAAGAAAAACAGAAAGAAAGAAAGAACAAAAGCGUAGAUAGGAAAGCACAUUAAUUUUCCUUGAAGGGGCAACAACGUAACGAAGUUCACGAGAACACGCUCGUUACCACCGGGUUCGCGUACUCGAUAAGAGAUCUCGCACGAAUGAUUAAAUUUCUACUUAACAAUUAACCCUUGCAAUAUCAUCGACUGCCAGAGAGAAAUUUUUUUUUUCUCAUAAAUUUUGUAUAAAUCUUGCUGAUAUUCCUAGGGUUAAUAUCAACGAUUCUUGACGAAGGUAGAAGUUUUGGAAAUUAAAUCAAUAUAAGCACUCACGGUAUCUUCGGAUGAUUCCAAAAUGUAAGAAGGUGAAACGUAGACUGACAUAAUUUAACGACAGAUUUUUGACAUAUGCAAAUAUACUUUUACAUUAUUCGUGUGUAAAUAGCACCCAUAAGUCCCCUUUGAACGAUCGUUAUACACAAGGAAUUGGAUCGUUGCCCCUUUUCAUCGUGCACGACACAAAUUUAAUGGAAUUAUCACUGUUUCUCAAUGAAAAUCAUAAAUUUUUCCUUUCGCUUUAACAAGACUAAUUAUCAUUCCUUUCAGCGCCCAUUCUUUGUAUAAACAAAGAAUUACCGAUUUUUAUCUCGCACAAUCUUCUUUCGUAACAAUUUCUUUUCACGGUUAUUGUUUCACGAAAGAAGAAAGGGUUACGAUUUAGUAAAAUAAUAUUUCACUGAAUUCAUCUUAAUAGAAGAUUAUGAUUUUCAUAAUAGAAACGAAAAUUGUGAAAAAUGAUAUACGAUCGAUAGUAGAAAUAGUUCACUGUCGGGGUGAUACGUUUCGAUGUUAUAAAAUUAUAAAAUAUGAUAAUCAAUUCGUUGCAUCGUGGAUCGCGUUCGAUCGCACACUGUGAAGUAAGCUUGAAAAAUGUUGUCAAUUAUCGUCGCUCUGUGGACACGGUUUCUGAUAAUGGGGCUAUCGAUAAGAAACUGACCGUCUGUAUAACAGAUACGAUAUCUGGGAGAAAUAUAAAUGUUGGAAUACUGUACUCGAAGAAAUUUUUUCAGAAAUCGUUAGAUAUUCGCAACACACGAGGUGUAUUUUUAAAAAUAUAUAUCAAUCAAUCAAUUAUCUACGUUCACAGCGUACGAAAGAACCGACGAUCGUCGCGUAAAAGCAUUUUUGGCAUCGUAUCGCAAUGCGAUAGAUAGACGAAGAUAUACUACCAUUAAUGAAUCACAUUAGCACCAAUGUGAUAUCGCAAUUAAUUUCAUUUCAUACAUUAUAGCGUUAAUCGUUACAAUUAAUAGAAAUCCAUAAUUAACAUCCGAUAUUGGGUGUACCAAUUAAUUAGCUGCCUUAAAUACAACCCCCUUUGUUUCGAAUCGAUCCACCCCUCGACCGUGAAUUCUUUUUUGGCACCCAACUCCUAUCUACGGGAGGAUGUUAGCAUCGAUGACGAGGGUUCUGGCAGUGGUGAACGAAUUUCGUUGUCUCCGCGAGAAUGGAGACAGAUAAAUCAGUGUUGCACCCAGUGCAUUGGCACAUCGUCGAAGGUAAACGAAAAUAGUAGCGGAUCGGGUUAGUUAAAGUCGCGUUAGAGGAGGAUCGACGACAACGAUGCGUUAACGUACGUGGCCACACUGUGAUCAAAAACUAUAAUUCUCGUUGAUUCUUGGAAGGGAACUUUGAGUUCGAUCCAAAAGAGACAGGCUCGAUUAAUUGAGGCAGUUGAACGCGAGUUACGGUAACAGGAAACGGCUGGCUUUGAUUUAGAUUCUAUUUUCUAAUUCAAAAUGAUCGCUCCGGAUACCUAAAGAAAGGUUAAAAUGUUAUUUUAUCCGUUUCAUUUCAAUGUUUAUGUAUAUUAGAGAUGAAUAAUUUCAUUUUGAGACGAAUGAUUAUGGAGUAACGAAAGUGUAUCAGUUCAUCUGUUCGAUGAAAUCAUUUUUCUUUCUUAUUCAAAGUGUAACAAGUUUCCUCUUCGAAUGAAAAAUCGAUUUUGAAACGGUGUUAACGUGUUAUUACAUAUCGUGUUCAUUACCUCGUGAAGACGAUGCUCUAAAUGACCCUUCAACGCGGCGAACUGUAUCUUCCGAUAAUCUCCAUGGGAAGAAAAUCUCUUGGGACCUUUGCAGCUCGACGAUUUAGCUUUCACUCGAAGAUGCGACAUAUUAUCUCAAUUUUCCUUCGACGAACGUUCAGAUAUCGAUGCUUCCUAUCGCUCGAACUUCUAUCGAAUGGGUCUCUCUCCGUGGUUGUUCGCGAAAUUUUCAAGCGGAACACCUUCGUUACAUUAAACACUUGUUUGAAGCUGAUACCCGAGAUAAUAUAAUAAAAUGUUUAACCUGCUACUCGCUAAACAGAACGAACCGGUUCGUUGUUAAAUAACGUUUCACAGUUUUAAAUAAUCGUUAUUAAAAUCGGUGACCAGUUUCUUCCGUCUCAUUGAGCGUAAUUUAUGCUCGUUAACGAUGAAAAUGAAGUUUAAUUAUUGGGUCAUCCUAUAAGUAGCAAAGUUAUUCGUCUUGGAAAUAGUAAAUCAGAAUACACUAUCGUUUAUCGUCGAAAUUUCACAAAAAAUCUAACGAUACUUGUUAAUUAAUUUUCAUUCGUAUCGGCUGGAUUGAUUCACGAUUUUUCUCGUUUAAUUUUCAAUAUAAAUAUUGUUCAUUGCCUCGAGGUUUUCAUCGAUUUAAUGGAACGAUAAAAAUCAGUAACGGUUUUAUCGAACAAAUCAAGAUAUCGAGCAAAAUCGAAGGGUACGCGUUUAAGAGGAAAUCGAUAAAUCAGCUGAUCGAAUACAAAGCCGACCUAUGAAUUUUUCAAUGGAAAGAAAAGCGCACUGGAUUUUCUUGAUAAUCGAACUAAUUUUUUAAUUAUCCGCCAAUUAUACCGCCUUCUUCUCGAGUGGUUGAUAAAUGGAUAGAUUACGUAACAUUAGCUUAACCAUGAGUUUGUCCUUGCGUUUCUUUCCAUGUGUAACAACUGUUUGUAAAAUAAUAAUUACCGAGAAUCUUAACUCGAAAUGGAACACUUUAAUUAUCCCUAUAUUCCGUAAGCAAAGAACUUUCGUAGUUUGCAAAUUGUAAAACAAUCAUCAAUUUCAUUAUCUCGAGGUAUCUCUGAUUCACGAUUUCCUCCAAUGAAUUAUGCUUCGAGUCAAGGCAAAUAACGUGACGUUCUUUUAAAAAUAAUAAAAAAUAAAGAAGAAGUCGCGACGGUAUUCUAAUAAGUCGAAACGAUUCCCAAGGAUAAUUAUCUACAUUUAGUGUUUUAUGAAUCGAAUUUCAUUGCCGCGACGAAUAAAAUUAAUCUUCUGUAAUUAUCAAAGCUAUUGGAUAUUCGACACUAAACUACACACACUGGAAUUCACCGCGUUCUCCUACUUACAUAAACUUCAAUAAAUUCUCUAUAAAUACAUCAGUGUUUGGCAAGUUAAUCCGCAAAAUGAAAUGUCACCGAGCAAUUUCUUUGUACGCUCGAAAGAACUUUCCAUGACUAAGCUUCCGUUCCCAAGAAACGAUACAACAUCCUCGGUAUCGUCGUUUAACACCGUACGGUUAUUCAGAAAUAUUCCACUUCACUAUCCUAAAAGAGACUGUCAAAAAAAAAAAAAAAAAAAA